Molecule: ribosomal RNA, 460 nt
Filed under: uncultured bacterium
Lineage: Bacteria
Description: partial 16S ribosomal RNA
Rfam family: Bacterial small subunit ribosomal RNA
Source: RNAcentral
CCUACGGGAGGCAGCAGUGAGGAAUAUUGGUCAAUGGUCGUAAGUCUGAACCAGCCAUGCCGCGUGCAGGAAGACGGCUCUAUGAGUUGUAAACUGCUUUUAUACAAGGGUAAACCUGAAUACGUGUAUUCAUCUGUAGGUACUGUACGAAUAAGGAUCGGCUAACUCCGUGCCAGCAGCCGCGGUAAUACGGAGGAUCCGAGCGUUAUCCGGAUUUAUUGGGUUUAAAGGGUGCGUAGGCGGUCGGAUAAGUGAGAGGUGAAAUCCCGAGGCUCAACGUUGGAAUUGCCUCGGAUACUGGUUGGCUAGAGAGCACGUGAGGUAGGCGGAAUGUAUGGUGUAGCGGUGAAAUGCUUAGAGAUCAUACAGAACACCGAUUGCGAAGGCAGCUUACGAAGGCACUUCUGACGUUGAGGCACGAAGGCGUGGGUAGCAAACAGGAUUAGAUACCCGAGUAGUC